RNAcentral lists this transfer RNA (68 nucleotides) under Blautia faecis. It matches the Rfam family "tRNA". Rfam says of the family: Transfer RNA (tRNA) molecules are approximately 80 nucleotides in length. Their secondary structure includes four short double-helical elements and three loops (D, anti-codon, and T loops). RNAcentral also lists the same sequence under 1 other name. Lineage: Bacteria; Bacillati; Bacillota; Clostridia; Lachnospirales; Lachnospiraceae. The record is from RNAcentral.
AGUGUGGCUCAGUUUGGUAGAGCGCUGCGUUCGGGACGCAGAGGUCGUGGGUUCGAAUCCCGUCACUU